CCAAUAGCGUAUAUUAAAGUUGUUGCAGUUAAAAAGCUCGUAGUUGAAUUUCGGGAUCAAUAUGUCUGUCGUGCCUUCGGUACGUACGGGUAUAAUUGGUUUCUACCUUCUGAUGAACCUUGAUGCCAUUAAUUUGGUGUCUUGGGGACUCAGGACUGUUACCUUGAAAAAAUUAGAGUGUUUAAAGCAGGCAUACGCUUGAAUACAUUAGCAUGGAAUAAUGAAAUAGGACGUUCGAUUCUAUUUUGUUGGUUUCUAGGAUCGACGUAACGAUUAAUAGGGAUAGUUGGGGGCAUUAGUAUUCAAUUGUCAGAGGUGAAAUUCUUGGAUUUAUUGAAGACUAACUACUGCGAAAGCAUUUGCCAAGGAUGUUUUCAUUAAUCAAGAACGAAAGUUAGGGGAUCGAAGACGAUCAGAUACCGUCGUAGUCUUAACCAUAAACUAUGCCGACUAGGGAUCGGAUGAUGUUAAUUUUUUAAUGACUCAUUCGGCGCCUUACG
Molecule: ribosomal RNA, 500 nt
Filed under: uncultured Glomeromycotina
Lineage: Eukaryota; Fungi; Glomeromycota
Description: partial small subunit ribosomal RNA
Rfam family: Eukaryotic small subunit ribosomal RNA
Source: RNAcentral